Molecule: long non-coding RNA, 540 nt
Organism: Papaver somniferum (opium poppy)
Lineage: Eukaryota; Viridiplantae; Streptophyta; Magnoliopsida; Ranunculales; Papaveraceae
Exons: 5
Source: RefSeq, a predicted model, not a curated record
GCAUAUUUUCAACCCCAUUUCUCUCUCUCUUUUCUCAAUGAAAUACGUUUUUCCCUUUACAAAACCAUAAUCAUCCCUGUCGCCUCUCUUCUCUCCCUGAUCCUCUCUCUUUUUUACCCGUCAUUAUUCUCCCAUGUUGUAGGUGUCGAUUGAUUUCAUUCUUUGUACAGGUGAGAGAGGAAAUCCUGUUUUCUACUUUGGUGGAAAAGAACACCAGAUUGAUAAAGAUAUCAAAAACAUUAAUUGUACAAGAAGAAAUUGAUAAGAUUCAAUCUGAGACAUAAUCGAGGGGCGUUAUGUGAAAUAAGUUUAAGUGUGUACCAUGAGGCUAUGGAAAGACUGCAGUUGAUGCAACAUGCAAGCAGCGAAGCAAGAGCACUAGCAGUCUUCCAUUACCCAUUGGCAUUUUAUUUAUUUUGGUCAUGUUCUGCAUUUGUAUAUGACUAUGUGGGUUGUCUUUGUACUUCAUUUUUAUGUGUGAGACUGAGAGACUGAAUUGAACUCUAUUUUAGAACAUUUUGAACGUGUACGAAGACAGAA